RNAcentral lists this ribosomal RNA (751 nucleotides) under uncultured bacterium. RNAcentral's name for it is "bacterial SSU rRNA". It matches the Rfam family "Bacterial small subunit ribosomal RNA", at positions 28 to 752 of the family's 1533-position model. The record is from RNAcentral.
GACGAACGCUGGCGGCGUGCCUAACACAUGCAAGUCGGACGAGGACACCCUCGGGUGGAUCCGAGUGGCGGACGGGUGAGUAACACGUGACCAAUCUGCCUUCGAGAGGGGGAUAACCUGGGGAAACUCGGGCUAAUACCGCAUGACGUGUCGUGCUCGCAUGGGCGUGACACCAAAGGGAGGCCUCUACUUGUAAGCUUCCGCUCGAAGAGGAGGUCGCGGCGUAUCAGCUAGUUGGUAGGGUAACGGCCUACCAAGGCGACGACGCGUAGCGGGUCUGAGAGGACGAUCCGCCACAUUGGGACUGAGAUACGGCCCAGACUCCUACGGGAGGCAGCAGUGGGGAAUAUUGCGCAAUGGCCGAAAGGCUGACGCAGCGACGCCGCGUGUGGGAGGAAGCCCUUCGGGGUGUAAACCACUGUCAGGAGGGACGAAUCGCGGACGGGCAAACAGCCCGGACGCUUGACGGUACCUCCAAAAGGAAGCACCGGCUAACUCCGUGCCAGCAGCCGCGGUAAGACGGAGGGUGCAAGCGUUGUUCGGAAUUACUGGGCGUAAAGCGCGGGCAGUGGUUCUUAAGUCCUUUGUGAAAUUCCGGGGCUCAACUCCGGAUGUGCAGAGGAUACUGGAGAACUGGGGACUGGUAGAGGCGAGCGGAAUUCCUGGUGUAGCGGUGGAAUGCGUAGAUAUCAGGGAAGAACACCGGUUGGGGCGAAGGCGGCUCGCUGGGGCCAAGUUCUGACACUCAUCC